GUAGUCGUGGCCUGAGUGGUUAAGGCGAUGGACUAGUAAUCCAUUGGGCUCUGCCCGUGCAUGUUCGAAUCCUGCAGACUACG
This 83-nucleotide transfer RNA is filed under the name Saccoglossus kowalevskii. RNAcentral's name for it is "tRNA-Thr". It matches the Rfam family "tRNA". Rfam says of the family: Transfer RNA (tRNA) molecules are approximately 80 nucleotides in length. Their secondary structure includes four short double-helical elements and three loops (D, anti-codon, and T loops). Further hydrogen bonds mediate the characteristic L-shaped molecular structure. tRNAs have two regions of fundamental functional importance: the anti-codon, which is responsible for specific mRNA codon recognition, and the 3' end, to which the tRNAs corresponding amino acid is attached (by aminoacyl-tRNA synthetases). tRNAs cope with the degeneracy of the genetic code in two manners: having more than one tRNA (with a specific anti-codon) for a particular amino acid; and 'wobble' base-pairing, i.e. permitting non-standard base-pairing at the 3rd anti-codon position. The record is from RNAcentral. Lineage: Eukaryota; Metazoa; Hemichordata; Enteropneusta; Harrimaniidae.